AUGUUCCACUCAAAUGGAUGUACUGUGUACUAUUUGUCUCCCAUGAUCAAUUCUUGCCGUUAUGGCAGCUGGCAAGAUGAAAGUGACGUGUGUACUACUACAACGGUCUACUUCCUCAACGCCUAUAUAAAGGAUCAACUGUUUCAUUUGAAAAUUGCAAGACUUGGAUACAAUAAGAGUAACGCUUCCAAAAUAAAAUCAAAAGAAAAAGAAAAGAAAAAUAAAAUAAAAAUAAAAAGCAAAGAAAAGAAAAAUAAAAUAAAAAUAAAAAGCAAAGAAAAGAAAAGAUCAAAACACAAGAGUUUUUGCUCGUUACUGUGUUAA
Vicia faba (fava bean) is the source of this 324-nucleotide non-coding RNA. The record is from the annotation of a GenBank genome assembly. NCBI's taxonomy places the organism in Eukaryota, Viridiplantae, Streptophyta, Magnoliopsida, Fabales, Fabaceae.